Molecule: transfer RNA, 73 nt
Filed under: Neotermes insularis
Lineage: Eukaryota; Metazoa; Arthropoda; Insecta; Blattodea; Kalotermitidae
Description: tRNA-Ser
Rfam family: tRNA
About the family: Transfer RNA (tRNA) molecules are approximately 80 nucleotides in length. Their secondary structure includes four short double-helical elements and three loops (D, anti-codon, and T loops).
Source: RNAcentral
AGUUAUAAAGCUAUAUGUAAAUAAGCAUGUGCCUUGAAAACACAAGAAAGGAGUUAAAAUCUCCUACUAACUU